GAUGAACGCUAGCGGCAGGCCUAACACAUGCAAGUCGAGGGGCAGCAUAGUGGUAGUUUACUACUAAUGAUGGCGACCGGCGGACGGGUGCGUAACGCGUAUGCAACCUACCUUUAAGAGGGGGAUACUUCCGGGAAACUGGUUCUAAUACCCCAUAAUAUAGAUUAAGGCAUCUUAGUUUAUUGAAAUGAAUUUCGCUUAAAGAUGGGCAUGCGUUGUAUUAGAUUGUUGGUGAGGUAACGGCUCACCAAGUCUACGAUACAUAGGGGGACUGAAAGGUUUACCCCCCACACUGGUACUGAGACACGGACCAGACUCCUACGGGAGGCAGCAGUGAGGAAUAUUGGUCAAUGGUCGGAAGACUGAACCAGCCAAGUCGCGUGAGGGAAGACAGCCCUAUGGGUUUUAAACCUCUUUUGUAAUGGAAGAAUAAGUCUUACGUGUAGGACGAUGCCAGUACAUUACGAAUAAGCAUCGGCUAACUCCGUGCCAGCCGCCGCCGUAAUAC
RNAcentral lists this ribosomal RNA (508 nucleotides) under uncultured bacterium. RNAcentral describes it as "bacterial SSU rRNA". It matches the Rfam family "Bacterial small subunit ribosomal RNA", at positions 28 to 526 of the family's 1533-position model. The record is from RNAcentral.